Molecule: non-coding RNA, 106 nt
Organism: Acanthosepion pharaonis
Lineage: Eukaryota; Metazoa; Mollusca; Cephalopoda; Sepiida; Sepiidae
Source: the annotation of a GenBank genome assembly
UGACCAUCUCACAUUGAAACACUGGUUCUUGUCUGAUCACCGAAGUUAAGCAACGAUGAGACUGGUUCGUACCUAGAUAGGUGACUGCUUGGGAAUACCAGAUGCU